GAUGAACGCUGGCGGCGUGCCUAAUACAUGCAAGUCGAACGCAUGGAGAAAGGUGUUUCCACUUUUCAGGUGGGGGCCGACGGGUGGAUAAACAGGUGGAAACCUUCCUAUAAGACUGGGAUAACUACGUGAAAACGGAUCCUAAUCCCGAAAAUAUUUUAAUGCCCCAUGAUCCAAAGUUAAAAACGGCCUUGGCGUCACCUAUAGAUGGAUCCGCGGUGCAUUAGCUAGUUGGUGGGGUAAAGGCUUACCAAGACAACGAUGCAUAGCCGACUUGAGAGAGUGAUCGGCCACACUGGAACUGAGACACGGCCCAAACUCCUACGGGAGGCAGCAGUAGGGAAUCUUCCGCAAUGGGCGAAAGCCUGAUGGAGCAACGCCGCGUGUGUGAUGAAGGCUUUCGGAUCGUAAAGCACUGUUAUAAGGGAAGAACAGCUAGGAAAGGAAAUGUUCAUAGCUUGACGGUACCAAAUCAGAAAGCCACGGCUAAAUACGUG
This 497-nucleotide ribosomal RNA is filed under the name uncultured bacterium. RNAcentral describes it as "partial 16S ribosomal RNA". It matches the Rfam family "Bacterial small subunit ribosomal RNA", at positions 28 to 507 of the family's 1533-position model. The record is from RNAcentral.